Long non-coding RNA from Artibeus jamaicensis (Jamaican fruit-eating bat), 7864 nucleotides. RefSeq lists it as uncharacterized. NCBI's taxonomy places the organism in Eukaryota, Metazoa, Chordata, Mammalia, Chiroptera, Phyllostomidae. The record is from RefSeq and is a predicted model, not a curated record. The transcript is spliced from 4 exons.
GACUCAAGACACCCCUCAUCCCCACCUCCUCUGGGCUGCUUUUAAUGUUCCAAAUGUAGACCCCUGGCUGCUGUAUGCCCCCUCCCCCAUUUGCCUCUGCUACAUCCCUUCCUCCUCUGCAUCACCUGGCUUGGGAGGAGCCCCAGGUGAGACCUCCUGCCAGCGUGAGUGGAGUUGGGGGUCCCCAGACAGGAUGGUCUGGGACAUUGUGGUCACUGCCACCCGUCUUUCCCACCCCAGGCAUCCUCCUGAAUCCAGGGCCCCCCUCCCACUCCAGCCCAGGCUGCCCGAAACUCCAGGGCGUCCUUUGCAGGGGCAAAAAGUGAAGGGCUCUUUAAACGGCUGUUUCCUCCUGGUGAGGAGGAAGCGCUCCCUAAAUGUGUCUAAAUCUGCGUUUAGGUCUCUUUGUAACAUCGUCUCAGGAGCAAGCAUCAGUGCUCCGUCGUGGCCCUCUGGUAAGGCAGGCAGGCAGCUCCAAGGGCAGAGCUGGUUCUUGACAGCCAUCCCUUCCCCAGGCCAGCAAGCUGCUCCUCCCUCCCUCUCUGAAAGAGGGUCUCCCAGAGAAAGAGCCCCGGUGGGUGGGGUGGCGGGGCUGAGGCAGCCCAGGGGCUCUGAACGCGCCACCCCAGGGCUCCACCGGCAUCUUACUCUGGGCCUCUCAGGUACCAGCAGGGGGGUGGGGUCCCCACACCCCUGCUUGCACUGGACCUGAGUGUCACAUAUCUGGUCUUGAGUGUGGGGACCACUGGAAUUUCUCUGGCCCCGAGGAAGCAGGCUGUCAUUCUUCCAGGGCACCAGCUUCCCCACCUUGUCUGUCCUGCCGUGUGACUCUGUGGCAGAGGUCUCCAGGAACUGUGAAACGUCACCCUAAGGAGCACUCUGGGCAUACCGCAGGUGACCCUAAUGCCACAGGCACUUGGGAUUUGGGGAGCACUCAGUCAACAGCAGUAACGAACGCCUGUCCCUUCCCAUAUGCCCAGGCUCCCACACCCAGGGCACACCCAGCCCCAACCCCAGGCUCCCCCCGGGAAUAUUUUCCUGGGUGGGCUGUACCAACGUGGUCAUCUCAUUUCUAAAUAGUUGUGGGCAUCUCAGGGCACUGUUUUCAAACCCUGACUUGAUAGCGUAAAGGUGUUCCACCCCCUUCCCCCAAAAUUGUCAGGGGUGGAGGGGCAGGAGCAGGAAGGAGGAUGAGAUGAAGAAGUGUUAUCACGUGGUUUCAAACCUAAGAAUACAACUCACAGGGGAAAGCAGCACUUGAAAUCAAAGUUAGGACUUGGAAGGUAAGCCUUACUUUUGUAAAUUUUUAAUGUGUGAAUAAUCACACUACUUUUGGCCUUUUACAAAGGAAAAUAUAUGGAAGAAGAGACCCUGGGAGCCCCAGUGAAGAGAUCCUUCGAGGAUUCGGUGUGGUUUAGCACCGAAGUCCCAGUGCGCUCUAGAGCCGGAAGCAGACCGGGGAAGGCAGCCUGCGCGGGCCACCUUCCUGCUGCUUGGGAUGCGCGCUCUCGGCACGAAGCCCCCCAGAGCUCAGCCCACCCAGCCCUUUGCCUGGGGGUGGGGUGGGAGGCACCCCUGGAGGAAGCCUUUUAAAUGACCUGUCCAAAGGGGGCUUAGGGGGGUUCAGACAGAGGUGUUCUGUAGGCCAGAUGGGACUAAAGAUACUUCCCUAGAGCAGCAAAAAGGUAAGCAAAUAAGUCAUUAUGUUAACACCCAACCCCAAACUUUGGCUUCAUGAACAAGGAGGAGGGGGUUGGGUCUCAUCUCCCUGGAGCCGAUAGCAGCUGGUGGGGCCCGGGAGGGGCUGCAGGGCGGGCUGCAGGUAGGGGCAGAGCCAGGAGAGGGGCCCCGGCUGGCUUUUAUACAGGUUGAUUUUAAUUGGCUUUGACUCUAAAAAUCCCAUGAAAUCCAGGAGCUAUACCUUGACCCAGAUGUCAAAAACUGAAGUCACGCUAUUGGAAAUGGCAGAGCGCCACCAUCCCUCCCGCCAGGCUAAGUUCACACAGCAAUUCCCAAGGCGGCUUCCCUUGGUUUGGAAAGAGAUGGAAAUGUGGGCAGAUGUCCUGUGAGCAGACAAGGGCACCCUGUGUCUGAGCCCCGGACGCACGCCCCAUGCCCAGGUCUCAGGCCCCCACCAGGACAGAGCUCGGCACUCGUACCAUACCCCGUGGUUGGGGCUUGCUUGCUGUAAUUGAGCACGCAGCCCCAACUGUGUUUGUCUCCAAUUGCUCCCGUCCGUCCAGACUCCGUCUGACUUUACCUUCCGAUCCCAGCAUCCUUUCUGCUGUCCCAUCCCAAGGACGCCCUUCAACACCUGCUUGAAGAAAUGAGGGAAAGAGGUAGUCGGCCCUUCCUCCAGAAGAUCAGAGAGCUGUGAGCACCCUGCAGGGUCUUUCUUGAGACUUUUUCUUUUAAUCCAUAAAUAUUUCUCUCUGAUUUCCUGAGGCUAAAUUGAACAAGGCAGACACAUCACAGGGUGACGAAUAUACGUUUGAACAGAUCCUCUAGGUUCUGAACUCCUGUAUCGACAGUUGAACUUGUCUCUGAGAAGAGAAUAUGAAUGUUUUGCUUACGGGCCAUUACUGGAAGAAAUGUACAAUUCCGUAGUUUUCUGACCCUGAUUCUACCAGAUAAAUAGGUUUCUUGGCGCUUGCUUCUGCCACGUCUCUGCACACUUUGAGCUCGUAAGACUAUUUUUCUUCCUACAAAGACUCGGACAUCAGCAAACACACCUGUGCUUGUAUGUACCUAACAUGUUCCACACAUGAGCUCACACAAUGUUCUCAGCACCCAGCAGGGCGACUGGGGGAAUGUCCUUAUCUAGUCACAGAGAAGGACACGACCUUUUGCACUCCAGCUGUUAGUAGGGAGACGGCGGAGAAGCCCCUCACCUGCUUCUUGGUUUGACAGCAUAACUCCUGUCUCGAGGUUGGAGCCGCCCACCCCAGGAGUGAGAUCAGGUUGUGACCUGUCACAGACACACUGCCAUCACUGAUGGGUGUGAUCUGCCAAGGGCCGGGAGAGUUUCAGAAGUGUGUCAGCACCACCCACCAUUUGCAAAAGUCGUGGGGAGCCAGAGUUGCACUCCGGCUUAGCUUUCAUGCAGGGGUCUCGGUGGCCCACCCAGCUGCGGCUGCAGCACUUGCAGGACCAUGGCAGGGCAGGAAAGGGGGGGCCACCUUCGGGAGGGAGGCGUGUUUCUGACUCCCUCUCCAUUAUGGGGCUGAGGGCCGAGGGAGGGUAAGCCUGGAGAAAACGAGGGAGCGCCAAACUUGCCGCCCCACUCAAACAAAACAACGAAAAAACCCCGUCUCCCCUGAAACACACAGCACACCUCAGAAAGGUCGGCCACCCCGUCACUCAGGUUCCACGUCAUCCAGGUGCUCACCUGGCUCCUGUCUCACGCGAGAUCAGCUCUAUUUAUAAAGGGGAGUGCGGCUUGGAGAGCAGGAAGUUGUUUCCUAGUCUGGGGCCAGCCCAGGUGGGCGUCUGGGUGCAGGCGCUGCUGGGUGCCCUUUGCCACCACAGGCCCGGGCUUUAAAACCAAGAGCACAGCAGACAGGAGUGUAGAGUGGUUCAAACACACACACACACAAACACACAAGUAGACGCAGCCUGGCUCCCUCUGCAACUUUGCGGGUACUGCCCCAGUCGUCCGUGUGUGAAGCUCCGUCAGCGGUGGGCCCUGAUUUAGGAGAAUUAAGCAUCCUCAAAGGCCCCAGGCAGAGCUGGGCAUCAGGGCGUCUUCACAGCACCAGUGACAGCGGCAACGAGCUGGGUGGAGCGACCCGAAUGUGUGUGGCCACGGAGACGGUUCGUUGUAGGAGGGGCCCUCCUUUCCUGUCUCCUCGCUGCAGCCUCUUCUGAGUGUUCAGUUUUGGCCAGAAAUCUUUGCACGAAAGGAAUCACCGUGUUCCUACAGGGCUGGCUCUCGUGCACAAGCCUCUGGGGUUUCCAGGCCUUCCCCAGCUGGAGGACGACUGUAGGAAAUUUCUAACCUUGUGGGCGUCCCUGCUUGGAUUUCCAUUUCAGGUCCAGACGCAGCUGCCUGUUGGGUUGUCCCCCCUGUGCUCGUGGAGAGAUGGGAGCAGCCACCCCCAGGAGACAAGUGCUCCACGGUAAAGAGAGCCCGAAACCGCCCACGGCCCCAGCUGCUCCCUCAACGUGGCGUCGGGUCAGACCGUGGGGGCCUCUCCACCAACUGCGAAAGGAGAAGGCUCUGGGCUCUCCCGUGAGCGUAGCUGGUCCAUAAAGUCCCAGGAGCCUCAGUACCUUGGGGGACGUAGCCGAGGCCUGGUGAGUGGAGAGACUGAGUUGACGUCACACAGAAGAGGCUGUGCCACCUGAGCCCCGCCCCUCCCAGGGCGUCUCCUUCGUCCCGACUGCAGGCGCCUUUCCCCCCCCCACUCAGCCCACCCCUGGGAGCCCUUCAACCCACCGACAGCGUCGUAAUCCACUGAGUGACCUCCUGGUCCGGAAGCCGGGGCCCAGCCCCAGGCCUGCCCCUCACACACCCCACACUGGAUUUUUAUUUUUCGAGUGGGCACCACUCCUAUGCUGACUCUGUUUGGGAACAGCGCCCCGUUCUGUUUGUGCUUUGGGCACCAAGGGUCUUGCUGUAGGUACUGUUAGCAAUUCCUGUGUGGGGCCCUGGGUCACUGUCCUUUCCUGUCCCCAAAGGCCACCUCUGGUCCCACCUCUCUGGAGCUCUGAGCUACUUUCUUGGACCAGGAAGCAGACGGAAGUGCUGCAGCUGCAGGGUCACGUGGUGACUCUGUGACUUGCUCCCCUCUGGUGUCACUUCCGCCAUCUCCUGCACAAGCCACCCAUCUGCCUCCGCAGGUGGCAUCCCUCCCUGCCUGUCCCACGAGCCCCUGAGUCCUCCUUCCUUCCUGGCGGCCCCUCAUCCCCUCCAGUGCCGCUCCUGGGGUCCCACCUGACCGUCUCCCUCUCCCCACCCACCACCACCUGGACACCGGCCGGACAGCUGACCUGGGUGUCCGGGUUUUACAUAACGGGUCCCUACUACAGUGGACACUUCCUGAGGCACCAGCAGGGACCCCUGCCUCCUGAAUUUCGAGUCACCCUGCUGCCCUGGGCAGUUCUCCCAUCGAGGGAAGAGGGUCCUGCCAGCUCCUCCACUCGCAACAGCCUGGAGCUUCCGACCCCACAGAGAGAGCUGCCCGAGGCUGCCGUACAGACCACGUGCUCCCUCGGGAAAGGCACAGAGGGCAAGGGAACGGGAGCCGGCCAGGAGCGGCUGGCGACAGAAUCACAGCACUGCCCCCCACCCAGAGCGCACCCUCCCCGUGCCCCCUCGGAUCCCGCCGCUGCACACACAGCAGAGAGACCAGGGGCUGGCUCGUAGCUUAGGGCCUCCUCUCCACUCCCCGCGGCUGGGCACGACUUUCACAGAACUGAGCAGGACAGUACGAAGGGCAGGGAGGGGACCCGGGACGACUUCCAAAUCGGUAGGCACUUUGGUGCGUUUCCUGGAUAAUUUUGGCCCUGAAGCCGAGCGGAGGGGGAGAAAAGGAGAUACGGGUGAACUGUGAGCGUGGCUCCUAAUCAGAUUGAUGCUGCUCACACCUCUUUUCUUUGUCAUACUCAUUUUUAGUAACAAAAUACAUGCCCCAAAGCUGUAAGACUCCCUACGUGAAAACAUUUUUAUUGGGGUAAAGUACAUAUCACAGAAAAGUCACCAUCUCACCUGUUUUAAGUGUACGGUUUAGUGGCAUUCACACUCACGUUGUUGCGCAACCAUGGCCACGCCCACCUACAGAAAGGUUUCUCUCCGGAACCCGAGGCGCUGCGCCCAUCGAACGCUAACUCCGCCUCCCCUUCCCCAGGACCGCCGCCCUUCCACUCCCUGUCUCUGUGGGUUUGGCUCCUGCAGGCGCCUCCCGUAAGCGAAUCACACAGCACGAGUCCCCCUGUCCAUGUCACCAAGCAUUCGUCCUCCAGGGUCAUCUCUGUUGCAGGGCGUGUCAGCACGUCCAUCUCUGAGGCUGGACACCGCUCUGUCCCGUGUGCAGACCACAGAGUCCUCCGCGAGUGGGCACCCCGGGCAGCCCCGUUCUGCCUGUUGUGCCAAGGGGCAGGACUACUCAGGAAGAAAAUCUCACACCGCCGAUGCCAGUCGGCACGAGGAAUCGAGUAACUAGCCAAAACAAGAAAUUUAGAAAGUUGCCUUCCAUGCCACAGACCUGCACACUAAGCAUCCUCCUCUCCAACUUCCCCCGCCGCUGCCUCCAGCUGCAGGGCUGCCUUUCCAGCCUCCCGGCCAAGUUCUUUCACUCUGUCAUUUCUUCCCUUAUUCACUCAACCCUUCUGCCAAAUGCACUUGGCCCCUUCCUUUUACAGGCUGCACGUUUAAUGGGAAGAGGUGGCUCGGCCGUGCACAAGCCCAGGGUGCACCUGGACGUCACUGGCUGCGAAUUCUGCAAGGGCAGGGCAGGUCCUGCCUCGCUCACUUUGCGUGGGGAGCUUGCCUGCCCUUCCUGCCUCGCUGGCAGAAGUAGGCGUGUGGCUGUGACUAUGGGAAUGGGGGUGGGGGCUGGCAGCGGGCUGCCCUCCCCCAGGGCUCUGUGGCUUCGGUCCCAUCAGAGGGUGAGCACCUCGUCAUCGAAAUGAGCUAGUCCGUCUUGUUGCAGCGCAAUCGGGAAGCAGAAAAUUCUGGGUGCUCUUUUCCCCCAUGACACGUCUCAUUUUCAGAACUCCUGGCUCCUGACAUUUCUGGCCAUUCUCGGAGCUUCGUCGCUUCCGGCGCUAAACAACAGCCUCUCUUCUGGGUCGGACAGUGUCCAGUCCUGUUUAACAUUAGGGCUCCAGGGGUCACUCACAAAUUCUCUCUCUCUUGGCUCAGGUCGGCCUCCGCCCAGAACAUCUGCACUGGGGUGGGGGUGAGGCCGUUUUCUGUGUGUUUUCUAGUCUCCCUGCUUCCCAAACACACAUGGACUGAUGGUUUUACUUUCAUCCUUCCAACCCUGUGUCUUUAAUUUUUUUAACCUCUCGUCAAUAUGAUUUGGAAGUCGUACCAGCCAGCACCUUGUCAGGUGUCUCCUCUAUGUCCCGUCCCUGCACGGCUCGUUUUUCCUGCAACUGAACCAGGAAUGGGACUAUUUAGCUUAGAAACCGCCAAACCGUCUUCCAAAGUGGCCGUGCCCUUCCCCAUCCCCACCAGCAGUGCCGAGGGCUCCGGUUGCUCUGCGCCCUCCGGAGCAGUCGCUGUUUUACGCAGUCUGCUACUCUGGCCUUCCUACCAGGGAGCACGUUCCCUGACUUCUCGGAUUCGGCAAUCUGAGAUGACUUCAGUGCGAAGGGGCACCUAAGGCUCACGGACGACACACCGAGGUUUAAUCUGCACUUUCUAACAUCUGAUGACGUCGAACACCUUUUCUGUGCUCCUUUGCCCUCCAUAGAUCCUCUUCAGUGAAGUGACUGUUCCAGUCAUUUGCCUAUUUUUUAAAAAAUAUUUUCUUAUUGUUGACGUUGAGAGCUCUGAAUAAAAGUCCCUUUUUGGGUGUGUGGUGUAGACACUUUCUCCUGGGGAGGAGCUCAUCAUUGCAUUCUCCUGGUAGCUGGUUUCACCCUUUGAGCUGAUUUUUAAAUAAAGACUAAAGAUGAGGAUCCCCUUUCUGCAUGUGGACAUCCGAUUGUGUUCACCCCAUUGUCAAAGAAGACAGUCUGGUUUCCUCUGAAUUGCUUUUCUGCCUUUGUCAAAAACUCACUUGGCAUAUUACAUGGGUCGAUUUCUAGACUCUAUCCUGUUCCAUUUCUAUGCACUCAUUCCUUUGCCAGUAUACACUGUUCCGAGACUGUUGUUUUGUAACAAAUAAUAAAACAGGACAUGUGAUUCCUUCAA